CGGGGCGUAGCUUAGUUUGGUAGAGCGCGUGGUUUGGGACCACGAGGUCGCUGGUUCAAAUCCAGUCGCCCCGACCA
RNAcentral lists this transfer RNA (77 nucleotides) under Candidatus Margulisiibacteriota bacterium. RNAcentral describes it as "tRNA-Pro". It matches the Rfam family "tRNA". From Rfam's summary of the family: Transfer RNA (tRNA) molecules are approximately 80 nucleotides in length. Their secondary structure includes four short double-helical elements and three loops (D, anti-codon, and T loops). The record is from RNAcentral. Lineage: Bacteria; Bacillati; Candidatus Margulisiibacteriota.